GGAAUAUUGCACAAUGGGCGCAAGCCUGAUGCAGCGACGCCGCGUGAGGGAUGACGGCCUUCGGGUUGUAAACCUCUUUCAGUAGGGAAGAAGCGAAAGUGACGGUACCUGCAGAAGAAGCGCCGGCUAACUACGUGCCAGCAGCCGCGGUAAUACGUAGGGCGCAAGCGUUAUCCGGAAUUAUUGGGCGUAAAGAGCUCGUAGGCGGUUUGUCGCGUCUGCCGUGAAAGUCCGGGGCUCAACUCCGGAUCUGCGGUGGGUACGGGCAGACUAGAGUGAUGUAGGGGAGACUGGAAUUCCUGGUGUAGCGGUGAAAUGCGCAGAUAUCAGGAGGAACACCGAUGGCGAAGGCAGGUCUCUGGGCAUUAACUGACGCUGAGGAGCGAAAGCAUGGGGAGCGAACAGGAUUAGAUACCCCAG
This 420-nucleotide ribosomal RNA is filed under the name uncultured Pseudarthrobacter sp. RNAcentral's name for it is "bacterial SSU rRNA". It matches the Rfam family "Bacterial small subunit ribosomal RNA", at positions 358 to 790 of the family's 1533-position model. Lineage: Bacteria; Bacillati; Actinomycetota; Actinomycetes; Micrococcales; Micrococcaceae. The record is from RNAcentral.